AGGAAGCGAUUCCGGCUACGGAUGGUCAUGCGUCGCAUUAGCUAGUUGGCGGGGUAACGGCCCACCAAGGCGACGAUGCGUAGGGGUUCUGAGAGGAAGGUCCCCCACACUGGUACUGAGACACGGACCAGACUCCUACGGGAGGCAGCAGUGAGGAAUAUUGGUCAAUGGCCGCAGGGCUGAACCAGCCAAGUCGCGUGAGGGAUGACGGUCCUAUGGAUUGUAAACCUCUUUUGUCAGGGAGCAAAGGGCGCCACGUGUGGCGCUUUGCGAGUACCUGAAGAAAAAGCAUCGGCUAACUCCGUGCCAGCAGCCGCGGUAAUACGGAGGAUGCGAGCGUUAUCCGGAUUUAUUGGGUUUAAAGGGUGCGCAGGCGGAAUGUCAAGUCAGCGGUAAAAUUUCGGGGCUCAACCCCGUCGUGCCGUUGAAACUGGCGUUCUUGAGUGAGCGAGAAGUAUGCGGAAUGCGUGGUGUAGCGGUGAAAUGCAUAGAUAUCACGCAGAACUCCGAUUGCGAAGGCAGCAUACCGGCGCUCAACUGACGCUCAUGCACGAAAGCGUGGGUAUCGAACAGGAUUAGAUACCCUGGUAGUCCACGCAGU
RNAcentral lists this ribosomal RNA (601 nucleotides) under uncultured bacterium. Its description in RNAcentral is "bacterial SSU rRNA". It matches the Rfam family "Bacterial small subunit ribosomal RNA", at positions 202 to 803 of the family's 1533-position model. The record is from RNAcentral.